This 1443-nucleotide long non-coding RNA is filed under the name Zea mays. Its description in RNAcentral is "uncharacterized LOC103646197 (LOC103646197)". Lineage: Eukaryota; Viridiplantae; Streptophyta; Magnoliopsida; Poales; Poaceae. The record is from RNAcentral.
ACUAUCGUUCCACCAGUACUUGCAUCACGUCUGAAGUUCUCCCCUCGCCGAGUAGCCGCUUCGCGUUCGUCGGCGGCAACCACCAGUCCACCACCACGAUGGAUAUGUUUGCUGAGCUGCGAUCCAACGUGAUGAGGCACUCAUCUCUGGAAGGAUCGAAUAAUGUGCUAGUUAAAUUUGAACAAAAUGAGCGUGUGGCUGCAGCUAGGAAAGGUGGAGAUGCAAGUUAGUUGGACAGCGAAUCACAGCCGAAACGAUCUGAAAAUGUUGUUUUUGAUGUCAAUGACAAUAUGACCUCAAACAUGUCCAAGAAAGAAAAAGGUAGGGACCAUGACGAAGCAGCAAACUGUGAGAACUCUGCAGUUAGCACAAGCAGAUAUCGGAAUGGUCAUGAAGAUUUUCCGCGCUAAGAGAGAUUGGAAGACAGGUUGGAAAAAUGAAGAUUGUAUCGAGGACAUUGCUGUAUGUGUUGGUUCCGAUGAUGAAGAGGGUUCAACAGAAGAAGGUGCAGGUCGACCCUAAGGAUCAAGAAGACUUUGACAGGGCACUGAAAGCCAUUCAAGCUUGGAGUCACGUAAGCUGACUACUGAAGCAGCGGACAAAAGAUGUGUGGGAAUCCGGUGGUGUUAGCGAGGUGUGCAUUCAAGGUGCUUGUGAAGGAAGGACAUAAGCAGCAGACAAAGCAAAUGCCCAUCCGGGGGGGACUGCCCCACUGGUGCCAGAGCAACAGAAUGCUGCUGAGCUCGAGGAGAAGCAGAACAUGAAGCGGAAAAUUCUUGGAUACAACGAAAGGUAGGAAGAAGAAGAAGAACUGAACGGAGCGUUCGCCAGGAAGUGGGAACGGCUGGUGUCAAGGAGGAAGGACUGACGAGCACCCUGCUGGUCGCGUUAUCUGGGACGGCCCAAACAGAGGUGGUGGUGUACAGUGCAGCACAGCGGCACUACUUGGGUUGCUGGUGGGUUCUUCCGUGGCUAUGGAAGGGAGGUGAGCUGAUGCCACUGCGUUCAUGGUUUGGUUUGGUAAUGGUUUGCCCCAGGAAAGAGCCACCUCAGUAUCGUUCCAUGAACGUAUUUGCAUCAGGAGUUGUGCGACGUGAGAACGGUUUGCAUCAGGAGUUGGCUCGUGGUAUGUGGAACUAGUUUGUUUAUGUUGCUAUGCUUGUACACAGGACCGUUUUCACUACUACCUCAGAUCAGAUGUCAGGAUGCUUAUGGCGCGCAUGAUCUGAGCACGAGAAUUUUCGUACAAUUUUCUUCUUCAGAUGUAAAGUCUCUCCUUCGCUGCCCUGCUUACUCAUAUUAUUUACGCUGCACAUGCUCCUGGUGCCUCCUAUUACCAUGUUUAUGCUUUCAACACUCCAUGAUUAUUCUUCCCCCCCCCCCCCCCCCCCCCCCCCCCUGUACACUGCCAUCCGUGCAUGUCUGCCAUGACUGGCAUUGCUC